AGAGUUUGAUCCUGGCUCAGAUUGAACGCUGGCGGCAUGCCUUACACAUGCAAGUCGAACGGUAGAGGGGCAACCCUUGAGAGUGGCGAACGGGUGAGUAAUAUAUCGGAACGUGCCCAGUCGUGGGGGAUAACGCAGCGAAAGCUGCGCUAAUACCGCAUACGAUCUAUGGACGAAAGCGGGGGAUCGCAAGACCUCGCGCGAUUGGAGCGGCCGAUAUCAGAUUAGGUAGUUGGUGGGGUAAAAGCCCACCAAGCCGACGAUCUGUAGCUGGUCUGAGAGGACGACCAGCCACACUGGGACUGAGACACGGCCCAGACUCCUACGGGAGGCAGCAGUGGGGAAUUUUGGACAAUGGGCGCAAGCCUGAUCCAGCAAUGCCGCGUGCAGGACGAAGGCCUUCGGGUUGUAAACUGCUUUUGUACGGAGCGAAACGGUCUGGGUUAAUACCCUGGGCUAAUGACGGUACCGUAAGAAUAAGCACCGGCUAACUACGUGCCAGCAGCCGCGGUAAUUC
Molecule: ribosomal RNA, 517 nt
Filed under: uncultured Comamonadaceae bacterium
Lineage: Bacteria; Pseudomonadati; Pseudomonadota; Betaproteobacteria; Burkholderiales; Comamonadaceae
Description: bacterial SSU rRNA
Rfam family: Bacterial small subunit ribosomal RNA
Source: RNAcentral